RNAcentral lists this ribosomal RNA (217 nucleotides) under uncultured bacterium. RNAcentral describes it as "partial 16S ribosomal RNA". It matches the Rfam family "Bacterial small subunit ribosomal RNA", at positions 1286 to 1500 of the family's 1533-position model. The record is from RNAcentral.
UCCCAGUUCGGAUUGUAGUCUGCAACCCGACUACAUGAAGCCGGAAUCGCUAGUAAUCGCGGAUCAGAAUGCCGCGGUGAAUACGUUCCCGGGUCUUGUACACACCGCCCGUCACACCAUGGGAGUCGGAAAUGCCCGAAGCCGGUGACCCAACCCGAAAGGGAGGGAGCCGUCGAAGGCAGGUCGGAUGACUGGGGUGAAGUCGUAACAAGGUAAC